GCUUACGGCCAUACCACCCUGAGCAUGCCCGAUCUCGUCUGAUAUCGGAAGCUAAGCAGGGUCUGGCCUGGUUAGUACUUGGAUGGGUGACCGCCUGGGAAUACCAGGUGCUGUAAGCA
This is a ribosomal RNA of Gadus morhua (Atlantic cod), 119 nucleotides long. NCBI's taxonomy places the organism in Eukaryota, Metazoa, Chordata, Actinopteri, Gadiformes, Gadidae. The record is from Ensembl.